Molecule: ribosomal RNA, 498 nt
Filed under: uncultured bacterium
Lineage: Bacteria
Description: partial 16S ribosomal RNA
Rfam family: Bacterial small subunit ribosomal RNA
Source: RNAcentral
GACGAACGCUGGCGGCGUGCCUAAUACAUGCAAGUCGAACGAGAGCAACCGGUGCUUGCACUGGUCAAUCUAGUGGCGAACGGGUGAGUAACACGUGGGUAACCUGCCCAUCAGAGGGGGAUAACAUCCGGAAACGGAUGCUAAAACCGCAUAGGUCUUCGAACCGCAUGGUUUGAAGAGGAAAAGAGGCGCAAGCUUCUGCUGAUGGAUGGACCCGCGGUGCAUUAGCUAGUUGGUGAGGGAACGGCUCACCAAGGCCGUGAUGCAUAGCCGACCUGAGAGGGUGAUCGGCCACAUUGGGACUGAGACACGGCCCAAACUCCUACGGGAGGCAGCAGUAGGGAAUCUUCCGCAAUGGACGCAAGUCUGACGGAGCAACGCCGCGUGAGUGAAGAAGGUUUUCGGAUCGUAAAACUCUGUUGUUAGAGAAGAACAAGUGCUAGAGUAACUGUUAGCGCCUUGACGGUAGCUAACCAGAAAGCCACGGCUAACUACGUG